GGCUUGCUCGGGUCGCAUUCCGAUCCUUCGGUGGCUCCUCUUCAAUGGAGGCGUUGUCGGAGGGACGGAUGCUCCUCGUCUYGCUGUGGGACGACGCAUGAGUGGCUCUUAGGAUACGAUCCCACGGCAGGCUCCAUGUUCUCGGCAUCGAACUGCUCUGGUCUAUCCCUUUCAUUUGUUAGUUCGCCCCGUCCCUAUCAGGGUCGGUUGCGACCUCUCCGUGGAUCCCUGUUCUCGAUAUCGUGAUGCGGCAAUCGGGUGACUUCCUUGUCCCCGCCUUUGCUCAAUCGGUUCCCCUUCGGCCCGCGCUUGCGGUGGGGGAAUAUCGUGCGGGCGUUCACGUUCUCCAUCCGAGCCGUUGUCCCCGUGUGGGCACUCCUUCUCGUGAUGGUUCGCGGAUGCUUUCGGCGUGCUCUUGGGUACGGAUAUGAUUCGUUGGUUUCGCAACGGUCUAUGACGGCCGGGGCGAGCGAGAUCCCGAUGUGUCCAAUCCAUCGACGCUUCUGCUUGCGUGACCGUCGUGCCCCCUUAGGCGAUCGCGGGACCUCUGCGUCCCGUGUUCGUCCCUACGGAGGCUUCGAGGUCUUCGGAGGAAUGCUACCUGGUUGAUCCUGCC
This 616-nucleotide unclassified non-coding RNA is filed under the name Rhynchanthera grandiflora. RNAcentral describes it as "partial may contain 26S ribosomal RNA, external transcribed spacer, 18S ribosomal RNA". Lineage: Eukaryota; Viridiplantae; Streptophyta; Magnoliopsida; Myrtales; Melastomataceae. The record is from RNAcentral.